RNAcentral lists this long non-coding RNA (1510 nucleotides) under Setaria italica (foxtail millet). RNAcentral's name for it is "long non-coding RNA (SITA_LNC002923)". Lineage: Eukaryota; Viridiplantae; Streptophyta; Magnoliopsida; Poales; Poaceae. The record is from RNAcentral.
UAAGACAAACGGGCCGGCCGGUUAGGUUAACCCAACUGUUCUCUUGCUUUUCGUUUUUACUUCGGCCAUUGUGCCUGCCCGAGCAGCUCCAGACGCUCUUCCCUUGUCUUCCUCUCGCCUCCGGUGUCUCUUGCCGUCGGAUCGGAUCUGAUACUCUGAUGCCAGUCCUAGUUGCCAGGCUAACUUGAGUUAUUACCCCGCUCACCUGCCAUUCUUUCAAUGGUCGUCCUAUCGUCACAGCCUUCCCUCUGAUAAAACUCUAAAUCCAAAACCUCUAUCCUCGACUUAACCCUUUGAUUCCCAAAUCCCUAAACCAAUCUCGCUGAAGAAAGUCCAAUCUCACCGGAAUGGAGGAGGCAUGUCACCAUGAUUGUCGAUUAGAGUGGAAAUUGAGGAGGAGGAAAGAACAUGAUGCAGCAGAGGAAGCAAAUACAAAGGUGACAGUUACCGGAUCCAUUUCGUAUCCGGCUUUGGACAGCAAAGUUUUACUGGUCUUUGGACUCUUGUAUGUAUGCACAAGGAGGCCUAGCGUGGCACGAGAGUGAGUAAGACCGGUGCAGCUGUCGCGUUUCGAGGACAGGAAAAUCUUAUCCGUGCGCCACCUUUGGCCUUUGGGGCUUUGGAUCUGGAACGCGAGACCGGGCCAGAAACGGACGAAGAACGAGAUCAGUCGCGGUCGAUGAGCGAGAAAAAGCAGAGAUCGCCUGCCGGCCGCGUGAUUUUCACCCGUCGCGGUCGAUCGAUUGAAUAUGCGGUGACCUACCUUGGACUGGUCUAACUUGAUUUCUUGGAGUAGAGGCUGCUUGUCUUAAUCCUUGCCUCACUGGUGUACUACUAGCUAGCAGACUAUACAUUGUGCACCGUCCCAUCCGUAGCUGAAGACAAGGAACAGAAUUGAAACAGAACGGCCGUCGUCCACUCGUCGUGCGGUUGUCCCUUGCAUUCUCUUUCGUCGUGAUCUCGGAGGAGAUCAACGACACGAAGAGGAAAGAAAGCUGCCCGGCACGCAGCACCCUCCGCCCGUCGCAAAGUCCUCACGUCGUGCCCCCAAAAGCCGGCGGCGGAUCCCCCCCUCGCCGCGGGAUGUGGAUCACCGAUCACGACCACCCGGUCGGAGUCGUCGCGCGCCGUGGAAACCCACCCACAAUCCCGCGCUGGUUUGGUCACGCAACACGACGAGGAGGCAAAUCAUAGCGGCGCCGGCGCGUCGUGGGCGCGAGUACGCAUGCACCGUGAUCGCCCAUGCACCGGGGGCGGGAUGGCCGGGGUGGCAGAUUUGGCGUUUGCUGGACGAGCCCGAUUGGGCGAUUCGAACCGACUGGUUCCUCACUUCCUCGGCUCCUCUUCUUGAUCAUCAUCAUAGUACCGUAGGACGGUAGGAGUACAGCCGUCGGCAAGGUGAGGAGGCCACCGAUCUUCCGGGCCAGCACGCCGCCGGUCAGGCCAGACCCACAUGCUUCCCGUGCGGCCGGCCGGGGCAACCAAUCAUCCCGCGCGCGUUCCACCCGCC